This 356-nucleotide ribosomal RNA is filed under the name Linnemannia elongata. Its description in RNAcentral is "eukaryotic LSU rRNA". It matches the Rfam family "Eukaryotic large subunit ribosomal RNA", at positions 73 to 432 of the family's 3401-position model. Lineage: Eukaryota; Fungi; Mortierellomycota; Mortierellomycetes; Mortierellales; Mortierellaceae. The record is from RNAcentral.
AUCCCCUAGUAACGGCGAGUGAAGCGGGAUGAGCUCAAAUUUACCAUCGGGUGGGUGCCAGUCCCAAAUGGUUUUAUUGAAGCCUUUUUUGUCGCUGCUGGGUAUUGUCCUUUGGAAUAGGGUAUCAUAGAGGGUGAGAAUCCCAUCUUUGAUUCAAUGCAUGCUACUCUGUGAUGCGUUUCCCUAUCUCGAGUUGGUUUGGAAUGCGACUCAAACUGGGUGGUAAAUUUCAUCUAAAGCUAAAUAUUGGCGAGAGACCGAGAGCGAACAAGUACCGUGAGGGAAAGAUGAAAAGAACUUUGUAAAGAGAGUUAAACAGUGCGUGAAAUUGUUGAAAGGGAAACGUUUGACACCUG